GGGGAAUAUUGGACAAUGGGCGCAAGCCUGAUCCAGCCAUACCGCGUGGGUGAAGAAGGCCUUCGGGUUGUAAAGCCCUUUUGUUGGGAAAGAAAUCCAGCUGGCUAAUACCCGGUUGGGAUGACGGUACCCAAAGAAUAAGCACCGGCUAACUUCGUGCCAGCAGCCGCGGUAAUACGAAGGGUGCAAGCGUUACUCGGAAUUACUGGGCGUAAAGCGUGCGUAGGUGGUCGUUUAAGUCCGUUGUGAAAGCCCUGGGCUCAACCUGGGAACUGCAUCCAUAACUGCCUGACUAGAGUACGGUAAAGGGUGGUGGAAUUUCCUGUGUAGCGGUGAAAUGCGUAGAUAUAGGAAGGAACACCAGUGGCGAAGGCGGCCCCCUGGACGAAGACUGACGCUCAGGUGCGAAAGCGUGGGAGCAAACA
Molecule: ribosomal RNA, 425 nt
Filed under: uncultured Gammaproteobacteria bacterium
Lineage: Bacteria; Pseudomonadati; Pseudomonadota; Gammaproteobacteria
Description: bacterial SSU rRNA
Rfam family: Bacterial small subunit ribosomal RNA
Source: RNAcentral